AUGAUAUUGUGGAACCGAAGGAGAAAAGUAGCAAAGGAGUUAGAUGGUUUGAUUCUGCCCCACAUAAUUAAGAAGUUGAAUGCAAUGACCAGGGAAUUAAACUUGGAGGUGGUAGAAAGCUCAGAAGAAGUGGCUGAAGUAACUGCAUUAGGUGGUAGUGGCUUUAGGUUUGUGGUCAACUUGCAAGAGGGGACAUGUUCUUGUCGACAAUGGCAAGUUUCUGUCCAUCCUUGCAAACAUGCUCUUGCAUUCAUCACGUCACUUAGCAAUGCACACAUACGACACUAUGUGGACUUGUAUUUCUCCGUUGACAAAUAUAGAGCAGCUUAUGCCCAACUAAUUCCUGCUAUGCCGGACAAGACCCAAUGGCCUAAAUCUGACCAUGGAUUCUUCAUGCAUCCACCACUAUUGAAGGCCACGGCUGGUAGGCAUAAAACUGAGAGGUACAAAGGUUGCGGUGAGAAGAAAAGGAAAAGUGGUCAACACUUAUGCCCUAUUUGUAAGGAAUAUGGGCAUCAUUGGCACAAAUGUAAGAAGGGAAACCCAGAGGACAUUGCUGCAAUGAUGGCUGUGAGAGAACCACCAAAGAAAAUGACAAAGACAACCAAAACAACAAAGUUAUCCAUUGUGCCUUGCGAAGGAGUACCAACAAGAAUGUGUUUUCCCCCAAGCAAAAGCUUGGAAACUACAACCAAAAAAAGGGGAAACAUGUUAACUCUACUGCUGGAGCAUCAAAAAGCAAAAGCUUGA
Molecule: ribosomal RNA, 750 nt
Filed under: Triticum aestivum (bread wheat)
Lineage: Eukaryota; Viridiplantae; Streptophyta; Magnoliopsida; Poales; Poaceae
Description: partial small subunit ribosomal RNA
Source: RNAcentral